GAAUUUUUUUGAGAUAUAAAAGCCAAGGAAAUAGGAGAGUUCCACUUCGGAAUGUUUUAAUGGCAGUUCCCCUCAAUUCGUAUGGGUAAUAAAAAUAAUUCUUUGCACUAAUUUAUUUUAUAUUCUUCUAUUUUAUAGCCCCUACCACACCAGCAUCUACAUCUUUGGGUAAGUAUAGAAUAUCUUAUGAGAUACAUGUUCUAAAGGCGGCUCCCUACAAUUUUCCAAUAGCUGCAUGGAUAAUCAAAAUAGUUAUUUGCAAUAAUUCUUUAUAUUCGUCUAUUUUAUAGCGACCACAGUAGCAACAACGUCUCCGAGUGAGUAGAAUAUUUUAUGAAAAAUAAAAGCCAGGGAAAUGUGAGAGUUUCCCUUUGGAAUGUUUUAAAGGCGGCUCGGAUAAUUUUGUAGUAACUGUAGGUUAUCAAAAUAAUUCUUCUUAACAACGUUUUAAUAUUCUUUUAUUUUAAAGCGACCUCUCCAGGAACAACGUCUCCGAGUGAGUAUAGAAUAUUCUAUGAGAAAUAAAAGCCAAGGAAAUGUGAGAGUUUCCCUUCGUAAUGUUUUAAAGGCGGCUCGUAUAAUUUUGUAGGAACUAGGUUAUCAAAAAAUUCUUCUUAAUAACGUUUUAAUAUUUUUUAUUUUAUAGCGACCUCGCCAGCAACGUCGUCUCCGAGUGAGUAUAUAUAUAUAGAAUAUUUGAUGAGAAAUAAAUGCCAAGGAAAUGUGAGAGUUUCAUUCAGAAUGUUUUAAAGGCGGCACCUUGCAAUUUUCUAUAAACUAGGUAAUCAAAAUAAUUCUUGUCAAACGUUUUUAUAUUCUUUUAAAUUAUAGCAACUUCACCAGCAACAAAGCCGUC
Non-coding RNA from Paramuricea clavata, 856 nucleotides. The record is from the annotation of a GenBank genome assembly. NCBI's taxonomy places the organism in Eukaryota, Metazoa, Cnidaria, Anthozoa, Malacalcyonacea, Plexauridae.